Long non-coding RNA from Helianthus annuus (common sunflower), 358 nucleotides. RefSeq lists it as uncharacterized. The record is from RefSeq and is a predicted model, not a curated record. The transcript is spliced from 3 exons. Lineage: Eukaryota; Viridiplantae; Streptophyta; Magnoliopsida; Asterales; Asteraceae.
CAAGAAGGGAUUUGGGAAAUUAUAGUAUAUAUCACCAUCACUUUUCCCUCAUUUUCUCCUAACUUCCAACACACCAAAAAUCCUUCUCUUUCCCCCUCUUAUAAUCGGCAGCCCCAAAACACCCCUACUUCCUCUUUUUCUAACAACUAAACACUCCAUUUUACUUAUAAAAUACCAAUACAAGAAGGUUUGAGGUGCUUUCAAACUUGGAGAGUCAUUAGGGACACUUUGGAGCUUCAUUAUCUUCUCUAAUAUUCAUCUUAAGCUUAUGCAAAAUUGUUGACUCGCGUUUACGGAACACGUUGCUAGAAUAUCUCUCUCUUAGGAACGCAAAACAGAAACUAAUGGGAUCUUGGUG